Molecule: ribosomal RNA, 466 nt
Filed under: Vreelandella stevensii
Lineage: Bacteria; Pseudomonadati; Pseudomonadota; Gammaproteobacteria; Oceanospirillales; Halomonadaceae
Description: partial 16S ribosomal RNA
Rfam family: Bacterial small subunit ribosomal RNA
Source: RNAcentral
CCUACGGGUGGCAGCAGUGGGGAAUAUUGGACAAUGGGCGAAAGCCUGAUCCAGCCAUGCCGCGUGUGUGAAGAAGGCCUUCGGGUUGUAAAGCACUUUCAGUGGGGAAGAAAGCCUUGGGGCUAAUACCCUCGAGGAAGGACAUCACCCACAGAAGAAGCACCGGCUAACUCCGUGUCAGCAGCCGCGGUAAUACGGAGGGUGCGAGCGUUAAUCGGAAUUACUGGGCGUAAAGCGCGCGUAGGCGGUCUGAUAAGCCGGGUUGUGAAAGCCCCGGGCUCAACCUGGGAACGGCAUCCGGAACUGUCAGGCUAGAGUGCAGGAGAGGAAGGUAGAAUUCCCGGUGUAGCGGUGAAAUGCGCAGAGAUCGGGAGGAAUACCAGUGGCGAAGGCGGCCUUCUGGACUGAAACUGACGCUGAGGUGCGAAAGCGUGGGUAGCAAACAGGAUUAGAUACCCGAGUAGUC